CCACAAGCAGUAAAUCCAUCAAAUGAACUGUAGCACUAAAACUAAAGGAAAAAAGAAAUCAGCAAAACACUAACAGAUCAAAGUAGCAACAAAAUUUACCAGAAACACAAUACCAAAACACUCGAAACAAAACCCAAAAAAGCAUAAUUCAAACAUUUACAGCAACCAAAUUUCAUCCUAGAAAGAACCCAGAAAUUACUCACCAAAAAAUUUUCUUAAAAAAAAAAUACCUGAGCUAACUCUACCAACACGGUGAGACUGAGCAACUGAACCUUCUUUGAGUAUUUAGAGUGUUGUGAAUCACCUGUGCUAGGUUUGUCUGUAUCUCCUUCUGUGAAUCUGUGCUAGGUGUUGUGAAUCACCUUCUGUGUUUGUAUCUCCUUACACUGUCCAACGAGAUGACGAUUCAAGUUUUGUUCUACAGCCUGUGNNNN
RNAcentral lists this long non-coding RNA (434 nucleotides) under Manihot esculenta (cassava). Its description in RNAcentral is "long non-coding RNA (MESC_LNC006869)". The record is from RNAcentral. Lineage: Eukaryota; Viridiplantae; Streptophyta; Magnoliopsida; Malpighiales; Euphorbiaceae.